AUGCGCGAGGUCUGAAUCCAGAGAACGCAGAGGUGAAUUCAAUAUGGCGGCGUCCUGCUGCUAGAUAGUAAGAAGUUUGCUGCGGCCCAAAUUGUGGCCUUCCUCCUCCGAUUCCGUGGAUAUUUAACUUUGGUUCUGGGUCGUCUUGUACACACUGCUACAGUGGAAGGUUUCGACACCUUUAUCGACCGAUACUUUUACCACGAGAUGGAAGUAGGAAUGGAUCCGAAGGAAGCCAUGAAAGCGAUUUAAACAGCAUCCAAAUCCAGCGCUGGGAGCGGAUAUUUCAGAUCCUAAAGACUCUGACUGAGGCAAGUCGAUCCAGGGAGCAGGGCUCGAUUCAGUCUCCUGUAAACUGAGAGAGUGAGAGCGACAGAGGGAGAGAGAGAGAGAGAGAGAGAGAGAGAGCGCCUGUGGCCAUGCAGUCUCCGGCUGUCCACAACACGAGGUGCUGAACUUGGACAGCUCCUGUCAGCACCUUGGAGAGCUGCUCUUGAUCAUGAGCAUCUGGAAAAUGGAUCCGGUGGGAACCCUGGACCCGCCAUCGGCCACAUCUCUAGAUGAAGGGAUUAAAGCAGGAUUUUGGGAGUGAGGUUGUAAAAACAAUUGGUCAGAGUGUAAAUGAUGCUGCUCUUGUCCACUAGAGUGUCUGAUGGUCCUGAUGUUCUGUUUAUAAUCUGUAAUGGAACCAGUGAAUUUACACUGAAACCCACUGUAGCACGGCAUGUGCUACCCCGGGCUCAAGGAGGACGCUGGAGGCAGGGUUCAAGGUGGCAGCAGCCAUUUAUUUUUCCCCAAAAUAAACAAACACAACCAACCAACACUAAGCUGGACACUUUUCAGAGGCUUCAGCUAGCCUGCUAGACUUUUCAGUCCUUCUCUUCAGCGGAGAUUUUCAGCUCUGCCGUCUUUAGCUGCUGCUCGUCCCUCUCUCCUCUGUUCCCUCACAGCUCUUUAUAAAGGCACUCAAGCUGCCCGCCAGAUGAGAAUCAGCACGUUGGGGGAGCUCCGGCUUUGCGCUCCGCCACCUCCACAAUCGCAGGCCUCGCCUUUCUGCUGGCUCUCUUGGCCGUCAUCGUCGGGGUCCAGGGGGCGGGCGCAUACCACACCCACUAAAUCCUCCAUGAGCUGCUCACAGCUUCACAUGUUAAUCAGUGCAGUGACGCACAACCACUUUUCAAGAGUUCAACUAAACAUUUCAGCUUUUUACUUCAUUUUUAACUUAAUUUAGUUCACAAACAAGCAAUGUUUACAUUUUCACAAAAGCUGGUGUUAUUAAAGUGUUAAAUUUAAGUUUAAUUUAUUUCACAUUUAAGAAAAGAAGAAUCUGUAAAUGAUCUGACACUGUUGUUUAUCUUAAAGACAGAGAUGCUGUAAAAAUGUUACUCAUUAUUUAAGUAGUGAAACAGCUUUCAAACACAAAAGCAUAAAACACCGUCCACUAAAAGACCAUAAAUAAUGAGUUUUCAGCUGCAGAUACUUUUCAGUUAGACGCUGUGUUUACAUUCCACCGCUUAUCCACACAAAGAACAGCAUCCUGUAUAUACUGUCAAAACCAGAUACUGUACAGGUACAUUUAAUGUCCAUCAAGGUACAAACAGUGUAAAUGUACCUUCAAAGGUAAAACAAGGCUGUUAAGGUCCAGUUCUGCCUUAAAUUAGUUUUAAAAUUUACUUUCCCAAAUGAACUGUACACACGUUUACAUUUUCAUGACCUAAUAUAUUAAAAUAGAACAAUAAAAUAAAAACCUUGGAGUCAGUACAAAGUUUGUGCAGUUAAUGUAACUUAAAAAUACAAUUGUAAUGAAAUACACUAUAAUUAUGUUUUGAGGGUUCCCGGUCAUGACUGACACCGUACCGCCAGCUCUAGGAGGGUGAAGGCUAGCACGUGUCAGUAAUUCCCUCUCUGGCCACCAGAGGUCUCUCUGCCCUGCUCCCAGGUUUGGUUCACCUGCACCCCAUUACCUCUCAAUCAGUCUCACCUUAAAUACUCCCCAAACUCGGCUAAGCAGAGUGAAGUAUUGCCAAUGUCCUGGAAUCUGACUACUGAGUGUUUGUUUAGUUUGCCCCGCUGGUGUUUUGAGCUUCUGCCUGACUUUUUGUAAUCUGCAUUGUCUGCCUGGCCGUUCAGACUGAUUCACUGGUAUGACCUUUUUACCUUAAGAAACCUGAACAUGGGUCCCUCACAGUUAUGUUACACUAUCAGUCUAUGUACAGAGCCAGUUUAAAAGGAGCCUGGACGCUUUCUAUUUCUCCUGUUAUACCAAAACAUGACACUUUUAUUGUUUAGAGUUCAGAAGCACUAAACGUAAAACAGUAAGGAAGCAUUGCUGUUUUGUGGAUUUUUCUAUAUAAAAAUGAUUAAAGGAUUUACCAACUA
Pygocentrus nattereri (red-bellied piranha) is the source of this 2379-nucleotide long non-coding RNA. RefSeq lists it as uncharacterized. The record is from RefSeq and is a predicted model, not a curated record. The transcript has 2 exons. Lineage: Eukaryota; Metazoa; Chordata; Actinopteri; Characiformes; Serrasalmidae.